This is a non-coding RNA of Canis lupus familiaris (dog), 73 nucleotides long. Lineage: Eukaryota; Metazoa; Chordata; Mammalia; Carnivora; Canidae. The record is from Rfam.
ACUUGGCUGGCUUAGUUGGUAGAGCAUGUGACUCUUGAUCAUGGGGUUGUGAGUUCGAGCCCCAUGUUGAGUA